This is a non-coding RNA of Delphinapterus leucas (beluga whale), 1398 nucleotides long. The record is from RefSeq and is a predicted model, not a curated record. Lineage: Eukaryota; Metazoa; Chordata; Mammalia; Artiodactyla; Monodontidae.
GGAGGGGUUGGCGAUGUUGCUGCGCAGCCGGGCCUGUGGAGCCGGGGAGGUUCUGGUAUUAGUGCGCGGACAGGUCAGCUUCCAGCCCGGCCGCCUUACCUGAGCGCCGCCGCCCUGCGCUCCCCGCGGCCCGAGCGAUAGUUGUGCAGAGCCCCCUGGAUGUCCUCUCGGAUCAGCUCCGCCUGUCAAUCACGCCGUCAGGCCACGACCGCAACCCACCCACUGCCCGCCCAGGCGGCUCUCCGGAUCGAUUCCUCAGCUCGGCCCCAGACCACGUCCAGUCAUAGUUCACGCACUGCGCCCACGCACGUCCACGCCCUGAACUCACCCCCCGGCUCUUAAACUGUCCCUGCCUUAGGCCCCUCCCCCAACCACGGAAGCCCCGUCCAGAUGGCGCUUCGCCCCUGACCACACUCACUCCCAUCCUAGUUCUGGCUGCUCCCCCAGACCCUCACUUCCAUGUUCUGUCCACGUUCUGUCCGAGCUCUUAGCUCUUAGCCUCCGUCUCCAUUCGGCCCUCUCGAUCCUUCUCGACCCUACGUUCAAUCUGUUCUCAAAUCCCCCUCCCUCCCAGAAUUCCUUUACAGGUCACGCCCCCUCCGCUGGCCCUGACCCCGCCUUUGCCGUACACCGUGCCCCUCGUCUUAGAGGCCCCGCCCCGUUGGAGGUUCGGCUCCGGACUCCGCCCAGUUUCAGCUCCGGGUCCGGAAUCCGCAGGGUCUCAGUCUGUGGCCCCGACCCCCGCUCGCUCACCCCCAGACGCAGGCCCUGGAAGAAGUGCACGUCGGGCUGCGUGCGCUCGGGCUCCUGGCACACGAGCAGCAGCAGUGAGCAGCUCUGGCCCGGCGGUAUCACCGUGUCGCAACGCACGAUGGCGCUCAGCGGCACAGGAGCUGGUCCAGAGGAAAAGUUGGCGGAUUCAAGUGGAACUGAGUUCCUCCACUGAAUGCCCACAUCUGAGGCAAGGCAGAAGAAGUCCACUUUGCAGAUGAGCAAACGGAGUUUCCCAAGUUCUUGCUGCUUGGAGGUCCAACUGCUUUCAACUCCCCCAUCUCCUCAGGCCUGCCUUGCCUCCUGCAAGACCCCCCGUGGCAACACAGACCCCAGACUCACAUUGACUGGAUAUUGGGAAACAUCGGCCAUAACCUCGGUGGAGUAACGCUUCCUCUGUUCUGUGGGGGAAGAAGGAGAAUGGCUGCAGGAGACCCAGCUCCCAGCCCCUUCCCCCUCAGACUCAGGAGUCCAGACCCCCAGCCCCUCCUCCCUCAGAAAAGGAGUCCAGACCCCCAAACCCUUCCCCCAUCAGAUCCAGGAGUUCGGGUCCUCAGUUACCUCCUCCCUCAGACCUAGUUUCUCUUGGCCCGGGGCUUCCUUGCCCCUCAACUCACCAUAGAUAGA